This 169-nucleotide ribosomal RNA is filed under the name uncultured bacterium. RNAcentral's name for it is "partial 16S ribosomal RNA". It matches the Rfam family "Bacterial small subunit ribosomal RNA", at positions 338 to 524 of the family's 1533-position model. The record is from RNAcentral.
CCUACGGGAGGCAGCAGUAAGGAAUAUUGCGCAAUGGGCGAAAGCCUGAUGGAGCAACGCCGCGUGGGCGAAGAAGGCCUUCGGGUCGUAAAGCCCUUUUCUAGGGGAAGAUAAUGACGGUACCCUAGGAAUAAGCCACGGCUAACUACGUGCCAGCAGCCGCGGUAAU